RNAcentral lists this ribosomal RNA (500 nucleotides) under uncultured bacterium. RNAcentral's name for it is "partial 16S ribosomal RNA". It matches the Rfam family "Bacterial small subunit ribosomal RNA", at positions 30 to 523 of the family's 1533-position model. The record is from RNAcentral.
AUUGAACGCUGGCGGCAUGCCUUACACAUGCAAGUCGAACGGCAGCACGGGAGCAAUCCUGGUGGCGAGUGGCGAACGGGUGAGUAAUAUAUCGGAACGUGCCCAGUCGUGGGGGAUAACGUAGCGAAAGCUACGCUAAUACCGCAUACGAUCUAUGGAUGAAAGCGGGGGAUCGCAAGACCUCGCGCGAUUGGAGCGGCCGAUAUCAGAUUAGCUAGUUGGUGAGGUAAAGGCUCACCAAGGCGACGAUCUGUAGCUGGUCUGAGAGGACGACCAGCCACACUGGAACUGAGACACGGUCCAGACUCCUACGGGAGGCAGCAGUGGGGAAUUUUGGACAAUGGGCGCAAGCCUGAUCCAGCAAUGCCGCGUGCAGGAUGAAGGCCUUCGGGUUGUAAACUGCUUUUGUACGGAACGAAACGGUGAGCUCUAAUACAGUUUGCUAAUGACGGUACCGUAAGAAUAAGCACCGGCUAACUACGUGCCAGCCGCCGCCGUAA